UUUAACGGCCGCGGUAUUUUGACCGUGCAAAGGUAGCGCAAUCACUUGUUUCAUAAAUUGAAACCCGUAUGAAUGGCAAGACGAAGGCUUAACUGUCUCCCCUUUCAGGUCAGUGAAAUUGAUCUGCCCGUGAAGAAGCGGACAUAUUUAUACAAGACGAGAAGACCCUUUGGAGCUUAAGACCUAAACCAACUGUGUGACAGACUAACUACCAUUAGCCAACUAAACCUUGCACUGGCCCACGUCUUCGGUUGGGGCGACCACGGAGAAAAACAAAGCCUCCGCGCAGAAUAGGAAUAAAUUUUCCUUAAACCAAGAGAGACAUCUCUAAGCCACAGAACAUCUGACUAAAACAGACCCGGGUAUUAUUGCCCGAUUAACGAACCAAGUUACCCUAGGGAUAACAGCGCAAUCCCCUUCCAGAGCCCUUAUCGACAAGGGGGUUUACGACCUCGAUGUUGGAUCAGGACAUCCUAAUGGUGCAGCCGCUAUUAAGGGUUCGUUUGUUCAACGAUUAAAGUCCUAC
RNAcentral lists this ribosomal RNA (526 nucleotides) under Porotergus duende. RNAcentral describes it as "partial 16S ribosomal RNA". It matches the Rfam family "Bacterial large subunit ribosomal RNA", at positions 1923 to 2599 of the family's 2925-position model. The record is from RNAcentral. Lineage: Eukaryota; Metazoa; Chordata; Actinopteri; Gymnotiformes; Apteronotidae.